Long non-coding RNA from Clupea harengus (Atlantic herring), 2697 nucleotides. NCBI's taxonomy places the organism in Eukaryota, Metazoa, Chordata, Actinopteri, Clupeiformes, Clupeidae. The record is from Ensembl.
ACACACACACACACACACACACACAACCACACUAGCUGCACACACACACACACACUAGCUGACCUGUAUGUGUUAGUGACCAACACAACCACGAUGGCUGACCUGUACGUGUUAGAGUGACCAACACAACCACACUGGCUACACACACACACACACACACACACACAACCACACUGGCUGACCUGUACGUGUUAGAGUGACCAACACAACCACACUAGCUGACCUGUAUGUUAGUGACCAACACAACCACACUGGCUACACACACACACACAACCACACUGGCUGACCUGUAUGUGUUAGUGACCAACACAACCACACUGGCUGCACACACACACACACACACACAACCACACUGGCUGACCUGUAUGUGUUAGUGACCAACACAACCACGAUGGCUGACCUGCAACGACUCCUGGUUGAGGAAUGGAGUGCCAUCCCACAGCAACAUGUGACCAGGUUGGUGACCAGCAUGAGGAGGAGGUGCCAGGCUGUUGUGGCAGCGUAUGGAUCUUCCACCCGCUACUGAGGCUCCUGACGGUGUAUUAAAUGAAUAAAGUGUAAAAUUGCCAAUAUGUCUUUUUUGUUCCUUGUUACUGAUCAUGAGUUCAAUCAUCCAAUCCACCAAACAACUCAAAACAAGAGUGAAUACCAACAGGAGAAUACACUCUUUAACAUUGGCAGAGAAUUUUGGCAAUUACUUGGCCGCUACCCACAUAAUCAUCUGUGCUGCUCAUCCCACAAAUGCAUGAUCCUUACAAGCUGUACAUUUUUGUAAAGGUAAAUAAACAGGCUUUCCAACGAUAUAAAAUACAAUGCCAAUUAGCAUUGUAACAACAGAGGAAUAAUCGUCCAAACACAAACUUUUUUUCUCCGAGUUUAUAUCACAAACAGCCUUCCUACACAUCUAUUCUUUGUGUUAAUGUCACAAACAGCCUUCCUAUACAAAACCUAAGAAAUGAAAGCGUACGUGUAAGUGUAGAUGGAUGCUGCCCCCUUUUCACGUGGUCCGCCUGAACGUUCCUCUUCCCCUCAGAGUAACAAACCUCUGGCCGUAAACGCUUCUCCUGACUAACACCAGUUACCCAACAUCUGGUUAAAAAAAAAUGAAUUAAAAAAUAAAACACGUCAUGUUUCUCCUGACUAACGAGUGACCCAUCAUAGGAAAAACACACACAUCACUGCAGAUCCUUCUGAUGUCAUAAGGCCUCCACCAUAUUUGUGUACAUGGCAAAACAAAUAAACAAAAACAAGCACACACACCCCUUACUCAUAACAUCUUAAUGAAUCCACUGCUUCUUUAGCCGGUCAGGUCCUCAGCGCAGUGUUUUUAUCGGUCACUCUCUUCUCUUACACGUAGAAAGGGUUUUACACACACACACACACACACACACACACACACGAUGGGUUAAGGCUGCCUCUGAACCCAACACAACCAGAAUUCACUUCCACAGCUUUUUUAGUGUUCAGGUGAAGCUGAUCUGGCAGCAGAGUUUGUAGGCCUGUAGAGUUGAGUAGAGUUUGUAGGCCUGCAGAGUUGAGUAGAGUUUGUAGGCCUGUAGAGUUUGUAGGCCUGUAGAGUUGAGCAGAGAUGAUUUCUCUUGGUACACAUGGUGGGGGCGGAGGGGUUGGACAUGCUGGCUCAGGUGAUAAAGCCACACCCUUCGUCAGUAAGUUCUUAGUAAACACAUAGAACAACCUGACCCGUGUGUGUGUGUGUGUGUGUGGCUAUCUAAGGGUAAAACACAAAUGAAACAAACUGACCGACACCAUGACAUCAGAAAGAUACCUUUUAGGAUUUUUUUUUUCUUUUUUAACAGAACGAAAACCUGACAGGCUAACCACAGCCACAGCUCUAUGAUAAGGACCCCCCCCAACCCCAGGGCUAUGACAAGAACGUUAUGACAAGAACGUGACUUUUGCGAAGCACAAAUGGCUGGAGGGAUUCCUAGUCCUGGUCGGCGGUUAAGAGCUGGAUCAGCAGUCAUCAACAGGCGGCCCCACACUGCGCCUCUGUGUGUGUGUGUGUGUGUGUGUGUGUGUGUGUGUCUGGAGAUCCGUCCUCUGUCUGUUUGUGUGUGUGUGUGGGGGUGUGUUUGUGUGAGUGGGGGUGUGUGUGUCUGGAGAUCCGUCCUCUAUCUGUUUGUGCGUGUCGGUGUGUGAGUGUCUGGCGAUCCGUACUCUGUGUGUGUGUGUGUGUGUGUGUCUGGCGAUCCGUCCUCUCUGUGUGUGUGUGUGUGUGUGUGUGUGUGUCUGGCGAUCCGUCCUCCCUGUGUGUGUGUCUGGAGGCCCAUCAGGUUGCCUUUGGACUGGGUGGGUUGGGGUUCUGCUUCGGCCUCCUCUUCUCUCUGGAGGGAAACAACCAACAUCAUCAUUAAAGCAUCUGAUCUAUCUUGGCCGAUCACUGCAUCUGAUCUAUCUUGGUCGAUCACCGAUCACUGCAUCUAAGUAGGUCAGACACAGACAGAGAGGGGUAGACACUGACGCAGACAGACAGACAGAGAGAGAGAGAGAGGGGUAGACACUGACGCAGACAGACAGCCAGAGAGAGAGAGGUAGACACUGACGCAGACAGACAGAGAGAAAGAGAGAGAGAGGGGGUAGACACUGACGCAGACAGACAGACAGACACUGACGCAGACAGACACAGAGAGAGAGAGAGAGAGAGAGAGAGAGAGAGAGAGAGAGAGAGAGAGAGAG